GACGAACGCUGGCGGCGUGGAUUAGGCAUGCAAGUCGAACGGUAUCAUCCUUUCGGGGGUGAGAGAGUGGCGAACUGGUGAGUAACACGUAGGUUAUCUACCCUCAAGACGGGGACAACCCAGGGAAACUUGGGCUAAUACCGGAUGUGAGCAACUUUUAGUUGUUUGAAAGGUGGCGUAAGCUGUCGCUUGGGGAUGAGCCUGCGUCCUAUUAGUUAGUUGGUGAGGUAACGGCUCACCUAGGCAAUGAUAGGUAGGCGGCCUUAACGGGUGGUCGCCCACACUGGGAUUGAGAUACGGCCCAGACUCCUACGGGAGGCAGCAGUCGAGAAUAGUCUACAAUGGUCGGAAGACUGAUAGUGCGACGCCGCGUGAACGAUGAAUCCCUUCGGGGUGUAAAGUUCUUUUAUAUGUGAGCAGUGCUUCUUAUAUUUAACAGUAUGGGGAGAGAGAUAUUAGCAUAUGAAUAAAGCAACGGCUAAACUCCGUGCCAGCAGCCGGCGGUAAAAAUA
This 512-nucleotide ribosomal RNA is filed under the name uncultured bacterium. Its description in RNAcentral is "bacterial SSU rRNA". It matches the Rfam family "Bacterial small subunit ribosomal RNA", at positions 28 to 528 of the family's 1533-position model. The record is from RNAcentral.